UCCCUUGUGGCUCAGCUGGUAAAGAAUCUGCCUGCAACGUGGGAGACCUGGGUUCGAUCCCUGGCUUGGGAA
RNAcentral lists this transfer RNA (72 nucleotides) under Bos taurus (domestic cattle). It matches the Rfam family "tRNA". Rfam says of the family: Transfer RNA (tRNA) molecules are approximately 80 nucleotides in length. Their secondary structure includes four short double-helical elements and three loops (D, anti-codon, and T loops). Lineage: Eukaryota; Metazoa; Chordata; Mammalia; Artiodactyla; Bovidae. RNAcentral also lists the same sequence under 2 other names. The record is from Rfam by way of RNAcentral.